This 253-nucleotide ribosomal RNA is filed under the name uncultured prokaryote. RNAcentral's name for it is "partial 16S ribosomal RNA". It matches the Rfam family "Bacterial small subunit ribosomal RNA", at positions 524 to 776 of the family's 1533-position model. The record is from RNAcentral.
UACGUAGGGUGCGAGCGUUAAUCGGAAUUACUGGGCGUAAAGCGUGCGCAGGCGGUUCGUUAUGUCCGAUGUGAAAGCCCCGAGCUCAACUUGGGAAUGGCAUUGGAAACUGGCGGGCUGGAGUGUGGCAGAGGGGGGUGGAAUUCCCGGUGUAGCGGUGAAAUGCGUAGAGAUCCGGAGGAACCCCAGAGGCGAAGGCGGCCCCCUGGCUCGUACCUGACGCUCAGCCACGAAAGCAUGGGGAGCGAACGGG